CAAAAAAUUCCGAGGGGGGGCCCCCCGGGGGGGUGGGGUUUG
This 42-nucleotide ribosomal RNA is filed under the name Tagetes subulata. Its description in RNAcentral is "partial 18S ribosomal RNA". Lineage: Eukaryota; Viridiplantae; Streptophyta; Magnoliopsida; Asterales; Asteraceae. The record is from RNAcentral.